RNAcentral lists this long non-coding RNA (666 nucleotides) under Cottoperca gobio. RNAcentral describes it as "lncRNA (ENSCGOG00000015841.1)". The record is from RNAcentral. Lineage: Eukaryota; Metazoa; Chordata; Actinopteri; Perciformes; Bovichtidae.
ACAGAGGUUGUGCACAGACUUCAGACGGACAGAAACUGACUGAAGACUAAUUGACUGAUUGCAAAGCAACAGAGAAACAAUCCUUGGACCCGUGUAGACUGACACCAUGGAUGAAGCCGUAUGGUGGUUUCCUCAUGCCUCUCCGGAAGCUCUGCAGUAGGAUCUGUGUUAGUGUCUCCAUCUGGACACUCCCACAGAUGGCUUCCCACCUCUACUUAGUCUUCCUGUCCAGUUUGGCAGUUUCAUCCAAACUGGGUUUGGAGGAUGUUUUCUUCAGCCCCCAGGACCAGACAGUCAGAGAAGGAAAGGGAGUUUUCUUGCAGUGUGUGUCAGGGGAAAGUUCACCUCCUGCAAGCAUCACCUGGCUCAAAGAUGGGACACUGGUCACAAGAGGGAGACACAUCCAGGGUGAAUAUGGAGGUGGUAACCAGAAGAAGGCUUCAGGCACUCUGCAUCUUCUCAACGUAACAUUAGAGGACGAAGGGAUUUACAUUUGUGUCACACACAAUCCUUCACUGAACAUCAGCAAGAAGAGCAAGCCGGCUAAACUAACUGUGCAGGGUCAGUCCAUGUUUUUGUUUAUUACUCUUAUAUUUGUCAAUUCAUAACGGCAAGUCAUCAUUUUAUGUCUGAUUCAUCAAGAAUAAACACCAAAUGUCACAAAAC